GACGAACGCUGGCGGCGUGCCUAAUACAUGCAAGUAGAACGCUGAAGGAGGAGCUUGCUUCUCUGGAUGAGUUGCGAACGGGUGAGUAACGCGUAGGUAACCUGCCUGGUAGCGGGGGAUAACUAUUGGAAACGAUAGCUAAUACCGCAUAAGAGUAGAUGUUGCAUGACAUUUGCUUAAAAGGUGCAAUUGCAUCACUACCAGAUGGACCUGCGUUGUAUUAGCUAGUUGGUGGGGUAACGGCUCACCAAGGCGACGAUACAUAGCCGACCUGAGAGGGGGAUCGACCACACUGGGACUGAGACACGGCCCAGACUCCUACGGGAGGCAGCAGUAGGGAAUCUUCGGCAAGGGACGGAAGUCUGACCGAGCAACGCCGCGUGAGUGAAGAAGGUUUUCGGAUCGUAAAGCUCUGUUGUAAGAGAAGAACGAGUGUGAGAGUGGAAAGUUCACACUGUGACGGUAUCUUACCAGAAAGGGACGGCUAACUACGUG
This 495-nucleotide ribosomal RNA is filed under the name uncultured bacterium. Its description in RNAcentral is "partial 16S ribosomal RNA". It matches the Rfam family "Bacterial small subunit ribosomal RNA", at positions 28 to 507 of the family's 1533-position model. The record is from RNAcentral.